CCCUUAGACGUUCUGGGCCGCACGCGCGCUACACUGACCAGUGCAACAAGCAUCCGUCCUUGGCCGACAGGCUCGGGCAAUCUUUGAACGCUGGUCGUGAUGGGGAUAGACUUUUGCAAUUUUUGGUCUUCAACGAGGAAUUCCUAGUAAACGCAAGUCAUCAACUUGCAUUGAUUACGUCCCUUCCCUUUGUACACACCGCCCGUCGCACCUACCGAUUGAAUGGUCCGGUGAAGCCUCCGGAUUGGCGCGCACCUCGGUGCCGCCGAGAAGUUGGCUAAACCUUACCAUUUAGAGGAAGGUGAANUCGUANCA
This 315-nucleotide ribosomal RNA is filed under the name uncultured eukaryote. RNAcentral describes it as "partial 18S ribosomal RNA". It matches the Rfam family "Eukaryotic small subunit ribosomal RNA", at positions 1470 to 1796 of the family's 1831-position model. The record is from RNAcentral.